GAGGGUAUAGCUCAGUGGUGGAGCACAGGCUUGGCAUGUACGAGGUCCUGGGUUCAACCCCAAUACCUCUA
Molecule: transfer RNA, 71 nt
Filed under: Camelus bactrianus (Bactrian camel)
Lineage: Eukaryota; Metazoa; Chordata; Mammalia; Artiodactyla; Camelidae
Also listed under: 2 other names
Rfam family: tRNA
About the family: Transfer RNA (tRNA) molecules are approximately 80 nucleotides in length. Their secondary structure includes four short double-helical elements and three loops (D, anti-codon, and T loops). Further hydrogen bonds mediate the characteristic L-shaped molecular structure. tRNAs have two regions of fundamental functional importance: the anti-codon, which is responsible for specific mRNA codon recognition, and the 3' end, to which the tRNAs corresponding amino acid is attached (by aminoacyl-tRNA synthetases). tRNAs cope with the degeneracy of the genetic code in two manners: having more than one tRNA (with a specific anti-codon) for a particular amino acid; and 'wobble' base-pairing, i.e. permitting non-standard base-pairing at the 3rd anti-codon position.
Source: Rfam by way of RNAcentral